CUGUACAAAGGUAGCAUAAUCACUUGUCUCUUGAUUGGGGUCUGGGAUGAAUGGCUGGAUGAGAAAUUUACUUUCUUUAUUUUAAAUAUAAAAUUUAACUUUUAAAUUAAAAGGUUUAAAUGAAAAUAUAGGACGAGAAGACCCUAUAGAACUUUACUUGUUAAUUAUCAAUGUUUUUUUGUGAAUGAUUUUUAUUGAUUAUGAUUAUGAGUUUUGUUGGGGUGACAAAAAAAAUCUUUAACUUUUUUUAUUAAUUUCAUUUAUGUGUGAAAAUUUGAUCUUCUAUUAGAAAAUAAAGAUUAAGUUACCUUAGGGAUAACAGCGUUAUUAUUUCGGAUAGUUCAUAUUGAUGGAAUAGUUUGCGACCUCGAUGUUGGAUUAAAGUUAGUUUUAGAAGUAGGAAGCUAAUAGACUAGGUCUGUUCGACCUUUGAAUUUUUACAUGAUCUGAGUUCAAACCGGAGA
RNAcentral lists this ribosomal RNA (464 nucleotides) under Papuamimus maai. RNAcentral describes it as "partial 16S ribosomal RNA". It matches the Rfam family "Bacterial large subunit ribosomal RNA", at positions 1946 to 2622 of the family's 2925-position model. Lineage: Eukaryota; Metazoa; Arthropoda; Insecta; Hemiptera; Miridae. The record is from RNAcentral.